RNAcentral lists this transfer RNA (73 nucleotides) under Vicugna pacos (alpaca). RNAcentral's name for it is "tRNA-Ala (AGC) (tRNA-Ala-AGC-814-1)". It matches the Rfam family "tRNA". Rfam says of the family: Transfer RNA (tRNA) molecules are approximately 80 nucleotides in length. Their secondary structure includes four short double-helical elements and three loops (D, anti-codon, and T loops). The record is from RNAcentral. Lineage: Eukaryota; Metazoa; Chordata; Mammalia; Artiodactyla; Camelidae.
GGAAGGUAUAGCUCAGUGGUAGAGUGCAUGCCUAGCAUGCAUGAGGUCCUGGGUUCAAACCCCAGUAUCUCCA